GCCCGAUACGAUGUCGACUUGGAGGUUGUGCCCUUGAGGACAGUGGCUUCCGGAGCUAACGCGUUAAGUCGACCGCCUGGGGAGUACGGCCGCAAGGUUAAAACUCAAAUGAAUUGACGGGGGCCCGCACAAGCGGUGGAGCAUGUGGUUUAAUUCGAUGCAACGCGAAGAACCUUACCUGCUCUUGACAUGCCUGGAACUUUGCAGAGAUGCAUUGGUGCCUUCGGGAAUCAUGACACAGGUGCUGCAUGGCUGUCGUCAGCUCGUGUUGUGAAAUGUUGGGUUAAGUCCCGCAACGAGCGCAACCCUUGUCCUUUGUUGCCAGCGGUUCGGGCGGGAACUCCAAGGAAAAUGGCCGUGAAAAACUGGAAGAAAGGGGGGAUGAAGUCCAGUCAUCCUGGGCCUUACCAGUAAGGCUACCCACGUGCUACAAUGGCAUAAACCAAAAGAAUCGACCUCACGAGAACAAGCGGACCUCAAAAAAUAUGUCCUAAUCCGGAUUGGAAUCUGCCACUCCACUCCCUGAAAUCCGAAUCCCUAAUAAUCCUAAAUUAAAAUGCUACCGUGAAUACCUUCCCGGGCCUUGGACACACCGCCCGUCACACCAUGGGAAUGGGUUGCCACAGAAGUAAGUAGCUUAACCUUUCGGAAGGCGCUUACCACUUUGUGAAUUCUGACUGGGGUGGAGUCUCAAAAGAAAAAACACAAAAA
RNAcentral lists this ribosomal RNA (711 nucleotides) under Kluyvera sp. RNAcentral's name for it is "bacterial SSU rRNA". It matches the Rfam family "Bacterial small subunit ribosomal RNA", at positions 799 to 1533 of the family's 1533-position model. Lineage: Bacteria; Pseudomonadati; Pseudomonadota; Gammaproteobacteria; Enterobacterales; Enterobacteriaceae. The record is from RNAcentral.